Molecule: long non-coding RNA, 2495 nt
Filed under: Marmota monax (woodchuck)
Lineage: Eukaryota; Metazoa; Chordata; Mammalia; Rodentia; Sciuridae
Source: RNAcentral
GGAGUGUUGGCUAAUGCUCACUUUAUGCCUCUGCAAGUACCUCUGCAGCACUGUAUCAUUGAUGAUUCUCAACACUGCUGUUCUUUGUCUCAAGAUCUUCUGGGGUUCAGAACAGUGAAAUUUCUGGUCAGCUCCAAGGUGAGAUGCUUCCUUUCGGUUCCAAGAGGAUGGUGGUUCAGAAUACUUGGAGGUGCUUUGAAGUUCCCUGAGCAAUCUUUAAAUAACCUGAAAGUUUAUUUCAACCAUGAGUCUCAGUGUGUGGGAAAACAGUAUUGCUCAGGACCAGUGUAGAAAGCUUACAGUUAAAUCUUUUUGCUAAGAUAAGUCUUUGGUCACCAAAAGAUUCUUGUCAUCUUUGAAAAACUACUUAUGAACUUUGAGAACCAAAUUUAUAAUAUAUUGUUUACCUAGAAUGAGGACCUAUGUCUUUCAGCAAUCCCUGAGAAAUUUUCCCUUUAUUGUGGAAAGUAUUUCAUGAUUUAAUGCAGACCUCUUUGCUGUCUUACUGGUUUGUUUUUGUAGUAUUUAAUUUUCUUAUUAAUAUAUUGAUUUUAAAGGUCAAAAUUAUAUUAUUUUUGGAUAAGGUCAUGACAAAUAACAAAAGGACUUGGUGCAAUAUGACUUUUAAGAUGAACUCUAAAUUUUAAAACAGUUUUUUUCUGAGCAUAAAAUAGGUAGCAUUUCAGUAUUGAUUUAAUAAAAGAAUGCUUAUACUAAACAUUGUCAUUUUAUAUUUACAUUAAAAUUAUAAGAAAAAUUAAAAUUGAGAAAAAAUGUCACAUGUAGUCCUUACAUGCCAUUAAAAAUGCAUAUACUAUUAUGUCUUUUCUUCUAGGCUUUUAAAUCAUACCUUGAAUUUCAUCAGUGUAAGCUGUCACAUCCACAAAAUAUUUAAAAUAUUUUCAUUAAUAGUCUUAUCUUUUUUCCAUAUAUACUAGUUCUCAUUCCUACUAAGUAAAUUUGCUUUGCCCCUUUCAGACUUCCAAACUCUGAAUUCCUUACUAUUUAUGAGUUUUUCCUCAGCCUCUCAUUUCCAUAUCCUCACUGAUUCUUCAUGGUUAUGUUCAAUUUUCCUUUAUGUACUCGAUUUUGUAUAACAGCCAACAUGAUCAGUAGAUAUUUAUUGAACACCUAUAAUAUGCUGAGAACUCUACUUAUGUCAUGUGACAUUUUUCUCAAUUUUAAUUUUUCUUAUAAUUUUAAUGUAAAUAUAAAAAUGACAGUGUUUAGUAUAAAUAUUCUUUUAUAAAUAAAACUAUAGAUCAGACAAAGUCCCUGCAUUCAGGAAUCUUUUUUUAAUUGGUUCAUUAUAAUUUUACAUAAUGAUUAGAUACAUUAUGCCAUAUUUGUCCAGAUACAUAAUUUGAUCGAUCUCCUACCGAUUUAUCUUCCCUUUCCUUCCCUUACUCUUUCCCACUGAUCUCUUUCCUCUAUCGAUCUAUCAUCUAUUAUUAUUAUUAUUAUAUCAUUAUUUUUAAAAAUUAGAACAUUGUAAUUAUAUGUAAAAGCAAGAUUCUUUGUUGUAAAUUCAUGCAUGAAUGUAGCAUAAUUUGGUAGUUUGUGCUCCCUCAUACUUUCUCUCUCUCAAUCCCCUUCUUCCACUCUGUUUGUCUCCUUUCUAUUUUUGUGAUAUCCCGUGGUAUUCAUUCUCUUCCUCCCCCCCAUUCCCCACAUGCCCCAGCUUUCACAUAUGGGAAAAAAUUUUGACCCUUGACUUUAUGAGUCUGGCUUAUUUCAUUUAGCAUGAUGUUCUCCAAUUUCAUCCAUUCAACAGAAAAUGAUAUAAUAAUUUUAUUCUCCUUCAUGGCUGAGUAAAACUCCAUUGUGUAUGUAUACCAUAUUUUCUUUAUCCAUUUGUCUGAUGACACCUAGCCUGGUUCCAUAACUUGACUAUUCUGAAAUCCACUACUGUAAACAUUGGUAUGCAUGUUUCACUUUAGUAUACUUGUUUUAAUUCUUUUGGAUAAAUACAAAGGAGUGGGAUAAGAGGUCACAUGAUAUUUCCAUUCCUAGUCUUUGAGGAAUCUCCAUACUGCUUUCCAAAGUGGUUGUGCUAAUUUGCAAUUCCAUCAGCAACAUAUAAGUUUAUCUUUUUCCUCAUAUCCUUACAAGCAAACAUUGUUACUUUUAUUCUUAAUGAUUACCAUUCUAAGUGGGUUGAAAUGAAAUUUCAGUAUAGUUUUGCUUUGCAUUUUCCUGAUUGUUAAGGAUGUUGAACAUUUUUAAAAUAUUUUUGUUGGCCAUUUGUAUUUCUUCUUUUGAGAUAUAUAAACUCUAAAUAGACCAAUAUCAAGCAAUAAGAUUUGAUCGAGCAGAAGGGUGAGAGUGGAAGGGAGGGGGCAGGGGGUUAGAAAUGUUGGUGGAAUGUGAUGAACAUCAUUAUCCAAAGUAUAUGUAUAAAGACACAAAUUGGUAUGAAUAUACUUUGUAUACAACCAGAGAUAUGAAAAUUGUGCUUUAUAUGUUUAAUAUGAAUUAUUAUGCAUUCUGCUGUC